Molecule: non-coding RNA, 45 nt
Organism: Schistosoma curassoni
Lineage: Eukaryota; Metazoa; Platyhelminthes; Trematoda; Strigeidida; Schistosomatidae
Source: Rfam
AUUCAGCUGAUGAGUCCCAAAUUGGACGAAAUACGUAUCGUGAAU